UUGAGCGAUUUACUUCGGUAAAGAGCGGCGGACGGGUGAGUAACGCGUGGGUAACCUACCCUGUACACACGGAUAACAUACCGAAAGGUAUGCUAAUACGGGAUAAUAUAUUUGAGAGGCAUCUCUUGAAUAUCAAAGGUGAGCCAGUACAGGAUGGACCCGCGUCUGAUUAGCUAGUUGGUAAGGUAACGGCUUACCAAGGCGACGAUCAGUAGCCGACCUGAGAGGGUGAUCGGCCACAUUGGAACUGAGACA
RNAcentral lists this ribosomal RNA (255 nucleotides) under Clostridioides difficile. RNAcentral describes it as "partial 16S ribosomal RNA". It matches the Rfam family "Bacterial small subunit ribosomal RNA", at positions 62 to 326 of the family's 1533-position model. The record is from RNAcentral. Lineage: Bacteria; Bacillati; Bacillota; Clostridia; Peptostreptococcales; Peptostreptococcaceae.